UAGGAGAUUUGUAAAAUACGAGUUACAUGU
RNAcentral lists this non-coding RNA (30 nucleotides) under Mus musculus (house mouse). Lineage: Eukaryota; Metazoa; Chordata; Mammalia; Rodentia; Muridae. The record is from RNAcentral.